AAGCCAAUACAAGUCAAGAAAUGGUGUCGUUCGCCCGUUUUGCUUUGCCCUUCGCAAUUAUUGCCGUGGCACUCUUUGUUUCGCCAUCAAAUGCUGGAAAGAAUGAAGGAUUAGGUGUCCCAUCAUCAUUGCCUCCAUUAGCGGUUUAUGGCAGAGCUCCACCCCCAAGCCAAAUUGGAAAAAAAGUGAAAUUUAUAAUUUAAUAGUUUAUUCUUUGAUGGACACGAAUUUUAUAGAUUUAAAUUCAUGUUGAAGACAUGAAUCUCUGAAUAUCUUUAAUAUUUGUAUGACAAUCAACCCUAUACUCCACGUAUACAAUUUUGAUGAUUAUAUCUGCUUCUCGUGUCCUGUGAGUUACGCUUUACAUUAGCUAUAAACACAAUUACAUAAACUUUGAAUACGUGUAUGGAAAGGAAGGGACUAGAUGGCAGCACAAAUUAUGUAGUUCUUAUUUCAUUUAGAUUACUUCUUAUAUACUGUUGGCGUCCUUCAUGUUCGGCAAAAUUUCACGAUCUCGUUUUUUUAUGAUCAAUACCCCUGUAUACAAGAUGUGUACAACAUUUUUUUCGGAAGUAUAAAAUGAAAAGAAAAAUUAUCGAAGGGCCCAUUCGCAAAAAUCCAAAUCGACUAUAUCGAAACCUCGAAUGCAUCAACACAUUUCAAAGUGAACAAAUAUAUGAAAUAAUCAAAUGAAAAAUGUUCUCAAUUUAAAAUACUCUAAUUACAUUAUAUCAACUGUCAA
Contarinia nasturtii (swede midge) is the source of this 742-nucleotide long non-coding RNA. RefSeq lists it as uncharacterized. The transcript is spliced from 3 exons. Lineage: Eukaryota; Metazoa; Arthropoda; Insecta; Diptera; Cecidomyiidae. The record is from RefSeq and is a predicted model, not a curated record.